UACGUAGGGCGCAAGCGUUGUCCGGAAUUAUUGGGCGUAAAGGGCGCGUAGGCGGCCUGGCAAGUGGAAGGUGAAAUCCCUCGGCUUAACCGAGGAACUGCCCUCCAAACUGCUUGGCUUGAGUCCGGGAGAGGUGAGUGGAAUUCCCAGUGUAGCGGUGAAAUGCGUAGAUAUUGGGAGGAACACCAGUGGCGAAGGCGGCUCACUGGACCGGAACUGACGCUGAGGCGCGAAAGCGUGGGGAGCAAACGGG
This 253-nucleotide ribosomal RNA is filed under the name uncultured bacterium. RNAcentral describes it as "partial 16S ribosomal RNA". It matches the Rfam family "Bacterial small subunit ribosomal RNA", at positions 524 to 776 of the family's 1533-position model. The record is from RNAcentral.